This 468-nucleotide ribosomal RNA is filed under the name uncultured bacterium. Its description in RNAcentral is "partial 16S ribosomal RNA". It matches the Rfam family "Bacterial small subunit ribosomal RNA", at positions 28 to 507 of the family's 1533-position model. The record is from RNAcentral.
GACGAACGCUGGCGGCGUGCUUAACACAUGCAAGUCGAACGGAAAGGCCCUGCUUUUGUGGGGUGCUCGAGUGGCGAACGGGUGAGUAACACGUGAGUAACCUGCCCUUGACUUUGGGAUAACUUCAGGAAACUGGGGCUAAUACCGGAUAGGAGCUCCUGCUGCAUGGUGGGGGUUGGAAAGUUUCGGCGGUUGGGGAUGGACUCGCGGCUUAUCAGCUUGUUGGUGGGGUAGGGGCUUACCAAGGCUUUGACGGGUAGCCGGCCUGCGAGGGUGACCGGCCACAUUGGGACUGAGAUACGGCCCAGACGCCUACGGGAGGCAGCAGGGGGGAAUAUGGCACAAUGAGCGGGAGCCUGAGGCAGCAACGCCGCGUGCGGGAUGACGGCCUUCUGGUUGUAAACCGCUUUCGCCUGUGACGAAGCGGGAGUGACGGUAAUGGGUAAAGAAGCACCGGCUAACUACGUG